GGAAGGCUCUAGGGGAAUAAAGAUGGAAAGACUUCUAAUUUUUAGGUCCGUAUGAUUUGAAAUACUUGCACACAAACCGCACGAAAGCGUUCCUGGAAAUCUCAGCCUAAAAAGGAUGUUUAGUAAUUCUAAAAGGGACUACAAGAUGAAAAAUAAUAGUUUGGGCAGUUAAAAUUUGAGAUUCGACGAUGCCGUAGAUCCGUUUGGUCAUCAGGUGUUAUGAGCCACACCCAUGUCUAGCUAGAAUAGUGUGUUAGGCUCAGGCUAGAGAAGAAACGGGGAACAAACUGAUGAAAGAAUGAUCAUACCGAGGGAAUUCACUCAGAACUAACAAGAAUGAUAACGUGCUCCGACUGGAGCAGUUUAGAAACUGCUGGAAGGCUCUAAUGGAAUAAAGAUGGAAUGCCUUCAAAUUUCUAGGUCCGUAUGAUUUGAAAUACUUGCACACAAACCGCUCGAAAGCGUUCCUGGAAAUCUCAGCCCAAAAAAGGACGUUUAGUAAUUCUAAAAGGGACUACAGGAUGAAAAACAAUAGUUUUGGCAGUUAAAGUUUGAGAUUCGAUGGUGCCGUAGAUCCGUUUGGUCAUCAGGUGUAACGAGCCACACACAUGUCUAGCUAGAGUAGUGUGCUAGGCUCAGACUAGAGAAGAAACGGGGAACAAAGUGAUGAAAGAAUGAUCAUACCGAGGGAAUUCACUCAGAACUUACAAGAAUGAUAACGUGCUCCGACUGGAGCGCUUUAGUAACUGCUGGAAGGCUCUAGGCGAAUAAAGAUGGAAUGACUUCUAAUUUUUAGGUCCGUAUGAUUUGAAAUACUUGCACACAAACCACGCAAAACCGUUCCUAGAAAUCUCGGUCGAAAAAAGGACGUUUAGUAAUUCUAAAAGGGACUACAGGAUGAAAAACAAUAGUUUUGGCAGUUAAAGUUUGAGAUUCGAUGGUGCCGUAGAUCCGUUUGGUCAUCAGGUGUUACGAGCCACACCCAUGUCUAGCUAGAGUAGUGUGCUAGGUUCAGACUAGAGAAGAAACGGGGAACAAAGUGAUUAAAGAAUGAUCAUACCGAGGGAAUUCACUCAGAACUAACAAGAAUGAUAACGUGCUCCGACUGGAGCGGUUUAGGAACUGCUGGAAGGCUCUAGGGGAAUAAAGAUGGAAUGACUUCUAAUUUUUACGUCCGUAUGAUUUGAAAUACAUGCACACAAACCACGCAAAAGCGUUCCUGGAAAUCUCAGCCUAAAAAAGGACGUUUAGUAAUUCUAAAAGGGACUACAGGAUGAAAAAUAAUAGUUUGGGCAGUUAAAAUUUGAGAUUCGACGCUGCCGUAGAUCCGUUUGGUCAUCAGGUCUUACGAGCCACACCCAUGUCUAGCUAGAAUAGUGUGUUAGGCUCAGGCUAGAGAAGAAACGGGGAACAAACUGAUGAAAGAAUGAUCAUACCGAGGGAAUUCACUCAGAACUAACAAGAAUGAUAACGUGCUCCGACUGGAGCAGUUUAGAAACUCCUGGAAGGCUCUAGGGGAAUAAAGAUGGAAUGACUUCAAAGUUUUAGGUCCGUAUGAUUUGAAAUACUUGCACACAAACCGCGUGAAAGCGUUCCUGGAAAUCUCAACCCAAAAAAGGGCGUUUAGUAAUUCUAAAAGGGACUACAGGAUGUAAAACAAUAGUUUUGGCAGUUAAAGUUUGAGAUUCGAUGGUGCCGUAGAUCCGUUUGGUCAUCAGGUGU
Molecule: long non-coding RNA, 1722 nt
Filed under: Triticum aestivum (bread wheat)
Lineage: Eukaryota; Viridiplantae; Streptophyta; Magnoliopsida; Poales; Poaceae
Description: long non-coding RNA (TAES_LNC019905)
Source: RNAcentral